AUGAUUCGUGGGACGUCCUGCCGGUGGUGGCGAGUCGAAGGUGUGCUCCCGUUGUGGUCUCCACUUCGGUUCUUGCGCGCCCGAGGCGGACCCCGAUGAAAUCCUACCGCGGUGCUCUUCGCCGAGUGUCGAGGUGGGCCGGCACGUUUACUUUGAACAAAUUAGAGUGCUUAAAGCAGGCCGGCUGCGCCUGAAUACUGUGUGCAUGGAAUAAUGGAAUAGGACCUCGGUUCUAUUUUGUUGGUUUUCGGAACCCGAGGUAAUGAUUAAUAGGGACAGGCGGGGGCAUUCGUAUUGCGACGUUAGAGGUGAAAUUCUUGGAUCGUCGCAAGACGGACCGAAGCGAAAGCAUUUGCCAAGUAUGUUUUCAUUAAUCAAGAACGAAAGUUAGAGGUUCGAAGGCGAUCAGAUACCGCCCUAGUUCUAACCAUAAACGAUGCCAGCUAGCGAUCCGCCGAAGUUCCUCCGAUGACUCGGCGGGCAGCUCCCGGGAAACCAAGCUUUUGGGUUCCGGGGAAGUAUGGUUGCAAGAUGAACUUAAGGAAUUGACGGAAGGG
RNAcentral lists this ribosomal RNA (557 nucleotides) under Leptophyes boscii. RNAcentral's name for it is "SSU rRNA". It matches the Rfam family "Eukaryotic small subunit ribosomal RNA", at positions 720 to 1164 of the family's 1831-position model. Lineage: Eukaryota; Metazoa; Arthropoda; Insecta; Orthoptera; Tettigoniidae. The record is from RNAcentral.